This is a long non-coding RNA of Motacilla alba alba, 603 nucleotides long. RefSeq lists it as uncharacterized. NCBI's taxonomy places the organism in Eukaryota, Metazoa, Chordata, Aves, Passeriformes, Motacillidae. The record is from RefSeq and is a predicted model, not a curated record. The transcript is spliced from 3 exons.
CUGAGAAUUGUUUUUAGGGAAAGGUAAAGGAAACAUGAACAGAUGUGGCUGGAGGCAGCCCCUCUGCACUUUGCUGAGCCACAGAGCCCAGGUUUCUGCCCCACCUGGGAUCCUGCAUGUCCCCAUUGCCUUGGUGUCCCCUCUGCAGCUCUGUGAAGACCCAGGAGAGGCAGCAGCCAUGAAGAUCCUGUUCCUGCUCUUCCCCCUGCUCCUUCUGCUGGUCCAGGGUGCUGCAGGAAGUGAACUUCAAUGCAAACAAAGAAGAGGGUACUGUUCUUUUGGGAGAUGUGUCCCCCCUGCAAGGCCUAUUGGUAGAUGUACAGGACAAACCAUCUGCUGCAGAGGACUCUGGGGAUGAGACCCUGAAAUUCCCAAGAAGGACAUCCACUCACUUCUGGCUGCUGGACCCAUCUGCUGAUGUCUCCCCCUCCUGAUGUCCCCUGCCCUCCCUGGCUCUGUGGUGCCCAGCUGGGCUGACAGCAGCAGUGGCAGCUGCUCCUGCUGGGUGCUGCUGGGCUGCAGCCCUGUGGUGCCAGCCCCGGUGUCUUUGGGCCAGGGGCUGCUUUUCCCGGCUUGAAUAAAGACGAGCACUUUGGCAUUGCA